GACGAAGGCUGGCGGCGUGCUUAACACAUGCAAGUCGAACGGAAAGGCCCUGCUUUUGUGGGGUGCUCGAGUGGCGAACGGGUGAGUAACACGUGAGUAACCUGCCCUUGACUUUGGGAUAACUUCAGGAAACUGGGGCUAAUACCGGAUAGGAGCUCCUGCUGCAUGGUGGGGGUUGGAAAGUUUCGGCGGUUGGGGAUGGACUCGCGGCUUAUCAGCUUGUUGGUGGGGUAGUGGCUUACCAAGGCUUUGACGGGUAGCCGGCCUGAGAGGGUGACCGGCCACAUUGGGACUGAGAUACGGCCCAGACUCCUACGGGAGGCAGCAGUGGGGAAUAUUGCACAAUGGGCGGAAGCCUGAUGCAGCAACGCCGCGUGCGGGAUGACGGCCUUCGGGUUGUAAACCGCUUUCGCCUGUGACGAAGCGUGAGUGACGGUAAUGGGUAAAGAAGCACCGGCUAACUACGU
Molecule: ribosomal RNA, 467 nt
Filed under: uncultured bacterium
Lineage: Bacteria
Description: partial 16S ribosomal RNA
Rfam family: Bacterial small subunit ribosomal RNA
Source: RNAcentral